CCUGACUGCUAUCGGAUUGAUACUAAGCCAUGCGAGUCAUUGUAGUAAUACAAGGCAGACGGCUCAGUAACGCGUAGUCAACCUAACCUAUGGACGGGAAUAACCUCGGGAAACUGAGAAUAAUGCCCGAUAGAACAUUAUGCCUGGAAUGGUUUAUGUUCCAAACGAUUUAUCGCCAUAGGAUGGGACUGCGGCCUAUCUGUUUGUUGGUGAGGUAAUGGCCCACCAAGACUAUUACAGGUACGGGCUCUGAGAGGAGUAGCCCGGAGAUGGGUACUGAGACACGGACCCAGGCCCUAUGGGGCGCAGCAGGCGAGAAAACUUUGCAAUGUGCGAAAGCACGACAAGGUUAAUCCGAGUGGUUUCUGCUAAAGGAACCUUUUGUCAGUCCUAAAAACACUAACGAGUAAGGGGUGGGCAAGUUCUGGUGUCAGCCGCCGCGGUAAAACCAGCACCUCAAGUGGUCAGGAUGAUUAUUGGGCCUAAAGCAUCCGUAGCCGGCUCUGUAAGUUUUCGGUUAAAUCUGUACGCUCAACGUACAGGCUGCCGGAAAUACUGCACAGCUAGGGAGUGGGAGAGGUAGACGGUACUCGGUAGGAAGGGGUAAAAUCCUUUGAUCUAUUGAUGACCACCUGUGGCGAAGGCGGUCUACCAGAACACGUCCGACGGUGAGGGAUGAAAGCUGGGGGAGCAAACCGGAUUAGAUACCCGGGUAGUCCCAGCUGUAAACUAUGCAAACUCAGUGAUGCAUUGGCUUAUGGCCAAUGCAGUGCUGCAGGGAAGCCGUUAAGUUUGCCGCCUGGGAAGUACGUACGCAAGUAUGAAACUUAAAGGAAUUGGCGGGGGAGCACSACAGGGGUGAAGCCUGCGUUC
RNAcentral lists this ribosomal RNA (873 nucleotides) under uncultured archaeon. RNAcentral describes it as "bacterial SSU rRNA". It matches the Rfam family "Archaeal small subunit ribosomal RNA", at positions 21 to 902 of the family's 1478-position model. The record is from RNAcentral.